This 129-nucleotide ribosomal RNA is filed under the name Escherichia coli. RNAcentral describes it as "partial 16S ribosomal RNA". It matches the Rfam family "Bacterial small subunit ribosomal RNA", at positions 1405 to 1533 of the family's 1533-position model. Lineage: Bacteria; Pseudomonadati; Pseudomonadota; Gammaproteobacteria; Enterobacterales; Enterobacteriaceae. RNAcentral also lists the same sequence under 7 other names. The record is from RNAcentral.
UGGGAGUGGGUUGCAAAAGAAGUAGGUAGCUUAACCUUCGGGAGGGCGCUUACCACUUUGUGAUUCAUGACUGGGGUGAAGUCGUAACAAGGUAACCGUAGGGGAACCUGCGGUUGGAUCACCUCCUUA